UACAGGGGGUGCAAACGUUGCUCGGAAUCAUUGGGCGUAAAGCGCACGUAGGCGGUCUGUUAUGUCGGAUGUGAAAGCCCUUGGCUCAACUGAGGAAGUGCAUCUGGAACUGGCAGGCUAGAGUACUAAAGAGGAUCGCGGAAUUCCCGGUGUAGAGGUGAAAUUCGUAGAUAUCGGGAGGAACACCGGUGGCGAAGGCGGCGAUCUGGGUAGAUACUGACGCUGAGGUGCGAAAGCGUGGGGAGCAAACAGG
This 253-nucleotide ribosomal RNA is filed under the name uncultured bacterium. RNAcentral describes it as "partial 16S ribosomal RNA". It matches the Rfam family "Bacterial small subunit ribosomal RNA", at positions 524 to 776 of the family's 1533-position model. The record is from RNAcentral.